Molecule: long non-coding RNA, 3411 nt
Organism: Rhincodon typus (whale shark)
Lineage: Eukaryota; Metazoa; Chordata; Chondrichthyes; Orectolobiformes; Rhincodontidae
Exons: 2
Source: RefSeq, a predicted model, not a curated record
CUGAAUCCAGUCCUUAUUGACAGUUAAAUGCCAUUCUUGCUGAAGUAGAUUGCUAGUUCAAUUUCAGAUGGGAAAUGGUAACCUCAACUCAUUUUUGGGGGUUGAAGUGCACAGCACACAAAUUACCACAUGGUUAAAUCAAAUGAACGAUUUUAUUCUGAGUCCAGAAAGUUAGCUUGUACUGGGGCCACAUGCACAAGAGGAAGCACAGUUUUUUUUAAGUUUGAGGGCAGUUUGAUUAAGAAAUCAUUACUGCUUACAUGGGCAUGCUGUAUCUGGCUAGGCUAUGCUCAGUUACAACAAUGACUAGAAACAGUGAGGGAGAAAAUGUUCAGUACUAUGUGACACUUAGCAUCCAAUACCUUCAGAGGAUGGAAAAAUGCAAUCAGAAAAAGAUAAUAUCUUUUAAACCCUGAGGCUUUCACAAUUACCCAGAAGCGAUGAUAAUGUGUAAAUAGAAAGGAAUUCUUUGUUCUUAUCAUUCAUGUUGUGGAAUUUGCAUGACUUAGUUUCACAUUAUUCAGUUGUUUAAAAUGUAGGUGAACAUUUCACAACAUUGUUGUUUACGAUUUUUGGCACACAAAACUGACGAAGGCACACAAUAUCUGGAAAAUACUUCUGGACAUAUAAUGCUGCUUUGAAUAGCGUAAGUGCAACUGAUGUACCUUUUUGUUUUAAAUCAGGUUGUUCGGGCAACAAGUACCACAGUGCCAACGUAUGUUGUUAGACCAUCACCAGCAAGGCCGCCACCACCAUGCCCAGCACCUUCAAGGCCUGUCCCAACAACCCAAAGGGUAUAGAUGUUGAUACACAUGAUACUCUACAGGAGUUUGUGCAGACAAUUAAAUUAUGUAUGCUCAUUUACAAUAUUGCCUCCGCACAACUAGAGUGUCAACCACCUUUGCUGAUUCAUCCAUGUUAAAGUUAAUGCUUCUGUAUUUUACAUGUUUCAUUUUUCUCAAGAAAACCAUAUCUGCCAUUUCCAAUCUUUGAAGGAAUUUACAACUGAAUACCUCUUACGUUUUUAAUUUUUUUUCUGAAAUAUUUGAAAUGUUUGAUUUGGUUAGAGAAAUUCUGUUGUUUAAACAUGCUGGAAGUUUGCCCAGUUACUCUCUUUGGAUACUUGCUGUGCAAUAGCAUGGAGGGGGAUGAAACUAUCACUACUGACAAGUAAUUAUUUUUACUGUUUUGAGAACUACACUCCCUCAAAAUCAACAUGUUCUGUCACUCCUACCUUUGCUUGUUUAAAUAACCUGCUUCUGAUGUUUUCUGCAGAAGAUGACAGUGCUUCAUAUUGUUGGAUGACAUUGGGCAACCAGCAGAGAAACAUGAGUUCAUCGAUCAGAGGCCCUUAUUAUACCUGCAGCAGAGUAGAUUAACAUUAUUUGACUUUUCAAUUUAUUUAGCACUUAAUUUAUAAUCAUCCGUCUCAGCUCUUGAUUUAAUUGUGUCUCAAUUUUAAAUUGAGUUUGAAAUAUCAACAGUUUAAAAACAAGAUUCUGUUUAUUUUAUAUUUUGUUUCUACGCCUGAAUGCAACUUCUGACACUCUACAACCAAGAUGGAAGGGAGGCAAUCUCUGCUCAUGCUGCAUUGUGAUAAGCAGCAAGAAGGCUGUGACAGUUGGUCUGAAUUGGUUUUUGACUUGAGUGUCUUUUUUAAGAGAACCUUAGUCCCUGGGUGCUCAUCAUGCAGUGAAUUUCAGAUGUGAAGUUGAAUCUGACCACCAUGUGGUACAACAUUGCCGUGUAUGUUAAACUGGCUGCUGUAAAGUUACUCCUUGGUACCACUGACAAUUCAUUAUUGUCAUUGUUUGCUUUUGUACUUCAGGAAACCACACACUUCAGCUGCUGUGUUGAAUGUUCAUUUCAAUACCCUUUUUUAAGUGAAAUUUUAAUGGAAAUCUCAUGCAGCAAAGUGUACAUAACUUCCAUCUGGUGCUGGAAGGCUUCGCUCCAUGUCUUGACAAGCUCUUGUAUAUUGUGGUGAAUACUAUCUGGUAGACAUAACAGCGGAAUUUAGUCAAACAUAGCUGCAAAGACAUUGGCAACCAAAAUAUUUUUCUAACCAAAAAAAAUGAUGGGGACAGACUUGGAUAAAUCUUAUUCAUUUCCCGCAGAGACACUGUAUGUACCCUGGACAAAUGGCACAUGAGAUGUUUAAUGGAACUUAAUUUUACAAUGUGGUAGAUGUGAUUUACUAUGCUAUGAUAUUUUGCAGAAUUUUUAAUUGGCAUUUCUGAUUCAAGCUCUGUUGAUUUAUAUCUAAUCUAUUCUCUGAAGCAAAUAACCUUGUAGUCUCCAACAAAAAACAGGUUUAUAUUCUUAGACUUGGGAUGCUGUUAUGUAUAGGGUUAUUGUUCAAAUUCCCAUAGGAAUGCAUUGUCUUUCAUGAAAUUAUGUUUGGAUAAUGGUUCAUUACAACACUGAUCUAUGUAACACCCUCUUUUUUUAACCAUGCUUUUUAAAAUAGUCAAGUUCACCUCCUAAAAUAUUCCUAAACGUGAAGCAUAGCCAGUCAUGCAUCUAAAUGUAUGAUUCUGAAGUUAUGGACUGGAAUUUAACUCUAAAUGGGUAUCUUUGAAUGAGUUUGAAUCUCUCUCUGUUCUUUGAUUUGAGAGUUGCCUAUAGACUCCUAGAUUAAAUAUGGGUGUUAUGUUUGAUGCAGCCAGACUUUGUAACUUUGUGGUUUCAAUGUGCUCUGGACAUGAGCUCAUGACUUUUCAUUUAAAUAUCCAAGUGACAGAUGAACACCAUUCAAGCAUUUUCUUUCCACUGAUAAAACUAAUUUUACACAUUUAGAAUUGGUGUUCAUUGAAAUUUUUCCGUUUCUGGAUGGAGGAAUGCAAUAUCAAGAUUGCGGUCUGCACAAAUACAUCAGAUUGAAAUACCCUCAGAGCCCUUUGUCUUUUUCUUUUGUGGCACGGACAGAAUAUUGCACCUUACUGUGAGCCAGGCAGUAAUACUGGUGACCUUUUGUGCAUAAAGUAAAAUGCUAUGAGUCAGGACCUGUUUGGUGUUCUUUUAGGUGGAUUACCUGUUUAUACAUUUCAGACUAAAACAGCAUCUGUGCUAUGUAACUUAAUCGAGAAGUGAAUUCCAAGUUGAAACCCCACAUGGGAUUUGAGAGAACCUUGAUGAAACUACUAAAGCUUUGUUGGUGGGCCUUCUUAAAUUCACCAAAACGAAAUAGAUUUGAGGUUAUAAUUCAGUCCCAGGUAUCUAUCAAUCUAAAUUUAAAAAAUCUCUUCACUUCACUUGAAUAUUUGCACUCGUUUAAAAGUGUUUUACUUUUUUCAAAAGUAAUGAUUUUUCUUAUGAGAUGUAAAGAUAUUAUGCACCUGUGGAUUACAAAGGGCUUUUAUUUAAUCUGUAUAAAGAGCAAUAGUGAAAUAAAAAUGAUUCUUUUUCUAA